CCUACGGGUGGCAGCAGUGAGGAAUAUUGGUCAAUGGGCGUAAGCCUGAACCAGCCAAGUCGCGUGAGGGAUGACGGUUCUAUGGAUCGUAAACCUCUUUUAUAAGGGAAUAAACUGCGGGACGUGUCCCGUUUUGUAUGUACCUUAUGAAUAAGGAUCGGCUAACUCCGUGCCAGCAGCCGCGGUAAUACGGAGGAUCCUAGCGUUAUCCGGAUUUAUUGGGUUUAAAGGGUGCGUAGGCGGCCUGUUAAGUUAGCGGUGAAAGCCUGUGGCUCAACAUUAGAAUUGCCGAUGAUACUGAGCGGCUAGAGUAUGUUUGCGGCAGGCGGAAUGCGUGGUGUAGCGGUGAAAUGCUUAGAGAU
RNAcentral lists this ribosomal RNA (362 nucleotides) under uncultured bacterium. RNAcentral's name for it is "partial 16S ribosomal RNA". It matches the Rfam family "Bacterial small subunit ribosomal RNA", at positions 338 to 697 of the family's 1533-position model. The record is from RNAcentral.